UGGGGAAUAUUGGACAAUGGGCGAAAGCCUGAUCCAGCAAUGCCGCGUGUGUGAAGAAGGCCUGCGGGUUGUAAAGCACUUUCAGUUGGGAGGAAAAGCAGUGGGCUAAUACCCCGCUGUCUUGACGUAACCAACAGAAGAAGCACCGGCUAACUCUGUGCCAGCAGCCGCGGUAAUACAGAGGGUGCAAGCGUUAAUCGGAAUUACUGGGCGUAAAGCGCGCGUAGGCGGUUUUGUAAGUCGGAUGUGAAAGCCCCGGGCUUAACCUGGGAAUUGCAUUCGAUACUGCUUGACUGGAGUGUGGUAGAGGGAAGCGGAAUUCCGGGUGUAGCGGUGAAAUGCGUAGAGAUCCGGAGGAACAUCAGUGGCGAAGGCGGCUUCCUGGACCAACACUGACGCUGAGGUGCGAAAGCGUGGGGAGCAAACGAGGAUUAGAUACCCUGGUACGUCCACGCCGUAAACGAUGAGAACUAGACGAUAGCGACUCUCACGUUG
This 495-nucleotide ribosomal RNA is filed under the name uncultured Pseudomonadota bacterium. RNAcentral's name for it is "bacterial SSU rRNA". It matches the Rfam family "Bacterial small subunit ribosomal RNA", at positions 355 to 839 of the family's 1533-position model. Lineage: Bacteria; Pseudomonadati; Pseudomonadota. The record is from RNAcentral.